This 373-nucleotide ribosomal RNA is filed under the name uncultured organism. RNAcentral describes it as "partial 16S ribosomal RNA". It matches the Rfam family "Bacterial small subunit ribosomal RNA", at positions 527 to 896 of the family's 1533-position model. The record is from RNAcentral.
GUAGGUGGCAAGCGCUGUCCGGAAUUAUUGGGCGUAAAGCGCGCGCAGGUGGUUCUUUAAGUCUGAUGUGAAAGCCCCCGGGCUCAACCGGGGAGGGUCAUUGGAAACUGGGGAACUUGAGUGCAGGAGAGGAAAGUGGAAUUCCACGUGUAGCGGUGAAAUGCGUAGAUAUGUGGAGGAACACCAGUGGCGAAGGCGACUUUCUGGCCUGUAACUGACACUGAGGCGCGAAAGCGUGGGGAGCAAACAGGAUUAGAUACCCUGGUAGUCCACGCCGUAAACGAUGAGUGCUAAGUGUUGGGGGGUUUCCGCCCCUCAGUGCUGCAGCUAACGCAUUAAGCACUCCGCCUGGGGAGUACGGUCGCAAAGACUG